Long non-coding RNA from Solanum tuberosum (potato), 992 nucleotides. RefSeq lists it as uncharacterized. The transcript has 3 exons. The record is from RefSeq and is a predicted model, not a curated record. NCBI's taxonomy places the organism in Eukaryota, Viridiplantae, Streptophyta, Magnoliopsida, Solanales, Solanaceae.
AAGAAAACCAGAAGUUCUAACAUUUGAAGUAUUUGGUUGUCUACAAUUUUCUUCUGGAAAAAAUGAUUCUCUGACAUAAAAUAUUGAACAUUUUCACUUCUCCUGAUUUUUUUUUCUCUGAUAUAAUAUAGAGCCACCUUAGAUACAAUUUAGUAGGUAAUAUAUUUGACGGUCGCAAAGGAUUCAAAUAGCUAUUGCAAGAAUGAACUGAUGCUAAAGCUUAAGCUCUGGUUAGUUUAGGAAUAUUCCAAGUACAUGACAUGCAAAAUUUCUAUACGUAAUCCCUUUGAAGAGUAAUAGAUUCUACCCUGCGUUCCUUUACCUUUUACAACUUCUACGACUAUUUAGGUGAGUCAUAGUUUAUUACCUUUCAUAAACUUCCUUUGUUGGUUUAAAAUUGCAUUACCUGCGGCUGCCAGAGACCUGCGAUUACAUAUUCUGUUGUGAAAACUGUGUAUGUUACCAUGCAUUCACUCACAUUUUCUUUUGUCAGCAAUGUCAUUAUACUUUAAACGGGUAUGCUAUGCAAUUUGAUCAAGUAUAGUUGACAUGUUUCUAGUAUAGAGAUAUCUUGUAUAGUGAAGUCAUAACUUUUCGUUCUUUUAUUUUUUGUUUGAUGUAUAUUUUAUAUUCUAGAAGAGCUGCAUGGUUUAUCUAAAUAACUGGUUGACUUUUACCUACUUUUAAUGCAUUUUCAGGUUCCUUCGAUUACCUCGGUGAAGAUAUACCCAUAGAUGAUAUAGAUGAUACAGAGGAUUUCAAAGAGGUUGACCUGGAAUAUGCUCAAGAAAGAUGAAUCUUAAGCUCAGAUCUUGGGAUUGAUUGGCUUUAAGGAUCGUUGAUUGUGCCCAGCAAAAUGGACCAAAAUCUAUGUUCAUUGGCAGUGCUUCUGGGUCAUCCAAUGAACUCCUAAAAGAUUCCUCAUUCGUUCCUUAACUAGGGAGGAAAACUGAUUGGCUAAAAUGGGCAUCAGACUUGGUGAAACUGAAAAC